RNAcentral lists this ribosomal RNA (526 nucleotides) under Carinoma mutabilis. Its description in RNAcentral is "partial 16S ribosomal RNA". It matches the Rfam family "Bacterial large subunit ribosomal RNA", at positions 1839 to 2624 of the family's 2925-position model. The record is from RNAcentral. Lineage: Eukaryota; Metazoa; Nemertea; Palaeonemertea; Carinomiformes; Carinomidae.
GUAUUUAUAAAAAGUAUUUUCUGCCCGGUGACUUUUUGUUUAACGGCCGCGGUAUUUUGACCGUGCAAAGGUAGCAUAAUCAUUAGCUUCAUAAUUGGAGGCUUGUAUGAAUGGGUUUACAAAGUGACAGCUGUCUCUUGGCUUUAUUUUGAAAUUUCUUUUCUAGUGAAGAAGCUAGAAUUUUUUCGUAGGACGAGAAGACCCUAUUGAGCUUUACUUUGAUAAUACUUUUAUGUUUUGUAAAUUAUUUUCUUUAGUGUUUUUAAAAGUUUGACUGGGGCGGUUAAGGAAAUAAUAUAACUUCCUUUUAUUGUUAUAAAUUUUUUUGUAUUUUAGAUCCGAGUUUUUCGAGCAAAAGAAUAAGUUACCAUAGGGAUAACAGCGUAAUCUUUUUUUAGAGUUCUUAUCGAUAAAAGGGUUUGCGACCUCGAUGUUGGACUAGGAUAUCCUGAUGGUGCAGUGUUUAUCGACGGUAGGUCUGUUCGACCUUUAAUAUCCUACAUGAUCUGAGUUCAGACCGGCGUGA